AGCUCCAAUAGCGUAUAUUAAAGUUGUUGCAGUUAAAAAGCUCGUAGUUGGAUUUCUGGUUUGAAAAUCCGGUCCGCGCAUCUUUUAGGUGUGUGUGUACUAUGGAUAUUCGAUCCAUUUUACUAGAGAUGCUUUCUGCCAUUAAGUUGGUGGAGGGCAAUUUUCUAGUUCUUUCACUGUGAAUAACUCAGCUUGCUCCAGAAAGGCACUUGCCAUAUUUUGAAUGUAUUAGCAUGGAAUAAUAAGAUAAGACUUUGGUGGUCGUAUUUUGUUGGUUUACACACUAGAGUAAUGAUUAAUAGGGACAGUUGGGGGUAUCUAUAUUUCAUUGUCAGAGGUGAAAUUCUUGGAUCAAUGAAAGAUAAACUACUGCGAAAGCAUUUACCAAGGAUGUUUUCUU
Molecule: ribosomal RNA, 400 nt
Filed under: phytoplankton environmental sample
Lineage: Eukaryota
Description: partial small subunit ribosomal RNA
Rfam family: Eukaryotic small subunit ribosomal RNA
Source: RNAcentral